CGCGCAAACUACGAAAUAUACAACUUGUAAAAAUAAUAUUCAAAUUGACAUAAUUAUGUUUUAAAUUCGAGGAGAAUAAAAAUCUUUGACAAUAAUCGAUCGAAGCAGAGUACGACUUUUGGAACCGAGACGCAUGCACAGUGCAAGCAUAUGAUUCCACUCCCAAUUGCUUAACAAUGUGUAAAGACACUUCGGUAAAGCAAAAUACAACAGUAUGGCUAAGAACGUUAUGUAAAUAUCGAAAAUUGUAACGCAACAUUCGAUAAAUGAGAUUAAAACGGUAAACGUUAGAGCAUGUCUUCUAAUACCUUAUCAAAGAAUAAGGGAACGAAGCGUACAUGGGUAAAUUGUUGACCCAUUCUAAACGAUAAAUAAUAAAUGGGACACCCAAUAAAAUAAUUCAAUGGAUUUUGUCUUGGAAGAAUUAUUAAUUCAAGUCGACAUAAGGACCUUAACAAGAGCUGCCACAAACUUGAAUAGUCUUCUAACCACUCCCACUAGAAAAAUUAUCGUUGAAGGUAAACAUAAACAUACUGUGCAAGCGCUAAACAGAUUUACACAGAUAAAUUGAGAGGAUCAAUCAAGCCAGAAAUCAAGAAAAGAGCAAAGAUCAACUGCAGAAUAUCAAUUGGCAGUUUUGGGGUUUGAACUGGUAAGUUUCAAGCCCAAAACUUACUAGAUGACGGAUUAAGGAGAAUAAAAAAGAAAAAGGAAAGGAAUAAUCAUUAUGAAAAAAUAAGUGGGGUUAUAUGGGUUUGCAUGGAAAGAAGCUUAAGAUUUCCAAAGCUUUUUAAUACCCUCCGUAAGGCCAAUAUCAUUCGUGUUGAACUCAUAGACGCCAAUAAGUGUAAGAACAGUACAUCCACGUAAGAU
This is a non-coding RNA of Schizosaccharomyces pombe (fission yeast), 873 nucleotides long. The record is from the annotation of a GenBank genome assembly. NCBI's taxonomy places the organism in Eukaryota, Fungi, Ascomycota, Schizosaccharomycetes, Schizosaccharomycetales, Schizosaccharomycetaceae.